RNAcentral lists this ribosomal RNA (253 nucleotides) under uncultured bacterium. Its description in RNAcentral is "partial 16S ribosomal RNA". It matches the Rfam family "Bacterial small subunit ribosomal RNA", at positions 524 to 776 of the family's 1533-position model. The record is from RNAcentral.
GACGAACCUUGCUAACGUUAUUCGGAAUUACUGGGCUUAAAGGGUGCGCAGGCGGAUAUGUAAGUCAGUGGUGAAAUCUUUGGGCUUAACCCGAAAAUUGCCAUUGAUACUAUAUAUCUUGAAUGCUGUGGAGGUAAGCGGAAUAUGUCAUGUAGCGGUGAAAUGCUUAGAGAUGACAUAGAACACCUAUUGCGAAGGCAGCUUACUACGCAGAUAUUGACGCUCAUGCACGAAAGCGUGGGGAUCAAACAGG